AUUGAACGCUGGCGGCAGGCCUAACACAUGCAAGUCGAGCGAACCUAGCUUGCUAGGUGAGCGGCGAACGGGUGAGUAACACGUAGGAAUCUGCCCGAUAGUGGGGGACAACGUCUCGAAAGGGACGCUAAUACCGCAUACGCCCUACGGGGGAAAGCAGGGGAUCUUCGGACCUUGCGCUAUCGGAUGAGCCUGCGUCGGAUUAGCUAGUUGGUGGGGUAAAGGUCUACCAAGGCGACGAUCCGUAGCUGGUCUGAGAGGAUGAUCAGCCACACCGGAACUGAGACACGGUCCGGACUCCUACGGGAGGCAGCAGUGGGGAAUAUUGGACAAUGGGGGCAACCCUGAUCCAGCCAUGCCGCGUGUGUGAAGAAGGCCUUCGGGUUGUAAAGCACUUUAAGCUGGGAGGAAGGUUCGCUGGCUAAUAUCCAGCGGGAUUGACGUUACCAGCAGAAUAAGCACCGGCUAACCCCGUGCCAGCAGCCGCCGUAA
This 492-nucleotide ribosomal RNA is filed under the name uncultured bacterium. RNAcentral's name for it is "partial 16S ribosomal RNA". It matches the Rfam family "Bacterial small subunit ribosomal RNA", at positions 30 to 523 of the family's 1533-position model. The record is from RNAcentral.